Molecule: long non-coding RNA, 1304 nt
Organism: Glycine soja
Lineage: Eukaryota; Viridiplantae; Streptophyta; Magnoliopsida; Fabales; Fabaceae
Exons: 2
Source: RefSeq, a predicted model, not a curated record
CGAAUUAAAAAUUAAUAAAAGAGAAGGUAGUAGACAAAAGGAACAGAGGCCUUCUAGAGUCUCUUUUCCUUCACAUUUCCUGUUUCCCUUUUGCAUGAUACCGUCCUUGAGUCACUGUCGGACGCUGUUUGAAGUCUAAUCAGCCUCCGUUCACCGGCGCCGUCGUUGCACGAUACAGCCUCGCUGACGUCGCUGCUUGAACUCGAACCAAACAGUGUCUUCUUCGUCACAACUCACAAUCUGAACCUCGUUGUCAACGACCUCGCACCAGACCACGCUGUCGUCGCACCAGAAAACGCUGUUAGACUCGCACCGGCACCGUCGCCGCACUAGCACUAGAAGAUGAGUAGUGCUACUAAUCAAGCUAUAGAACAAGAUGUUGAAACUACUCUACGGAAAUAUGUUUCAAAAACAAGAAAGAAAGAUGUCUGACGGUGGAAAUUAUGAGAUCAAGUGCAACAUUUGUGAACUUACAUUCAAGUUCAUGAGAUCAAGUUUCAGAUAAGUGAUUAUAUAUAUAUAUAUAUAUGUAUAUAUAUGUGUCGUGUUCCGUGUCCAUGCUUCUUAGGGACGAAUAGACAACUAUUGUGAUCCACUUUCUUGGUUGGGGUUUACUUGAAAUUGAAUGAGAUACACAUGCUUGGAACAUUGACACAAAUUUGAAUGAAAUUGUCCAAGGCAACCAACCAAUAUCAACAUUGGAUAUUUACCUUAACUUAAAACGGCACUACGCAGAGAGAACUAUGACUUUAAAGUUACACUAAAAAAAUUCCAUGCAGAAUUUUCUUACAAUAUGAACAUGGAUAAUUUUUUCACCUCUAAUUAGUUUCUGUCUACUAUAUAUAUGCUGCUGUUUCUCUACUUUGAAGCCUUUUAUUGUGCCUAAUUCAACUGUAAAACAUAACAUUCUUCACCCUGCUCUAUUCAACAGUAAAACAUAACAUUCUUCACCUUCUCUUUCAGAGCAGGCAGUGGCCGAACAGGCCCUUCUUUCAAUCUUGUUCCUCGCAGUUUUGUAAUCUCAGCAACAUCAGGUUCCAUGUAGAAUCGAGCCCUGUAGGCUGCUAGAUGAGCAUAAUAUGCUGGAGGCACUGCACACACAAAACAUAAACAUUACAUCAGAUAACAGUAACAACAUGCCUUGAAACCAGUUAGUUAAGUUUGCAAAGAAAUUUCAAUGUUUGAUUGUGUUUAAACAAAUUUGUGUGUAAGGACUGUUUUGAUUAAUCCUUUGUAUUUGAAACUAAUAUUACUUAUUGGCAUAUUAGAUGAGUGUUUAUGAUCAGCAGAAUUACCUACUGAAA